This is an RNA transcript of Phyllostomus discolor (pale spear-nosed bat), 3005 nucleotides long. It is a transcript of the gene named mitochondrial ribosomal protein L38, with no coding region annotated. The record is from RefSeq and is a predicted model, not a curated record. NCBI's taxonomy places the organism in Eukaryota, Metazoa, Chordata, Mammalia, Chiroptera, Phyllostomidae. The transcript has 7 exons.
AGGGGACGCGAUCGCUCGCAGCUCCGCCCCGUGGUCCACCCGGCACUUCACGGACCAGUGCUCCCAGGACCCGCAGCCGCCUCCGGCAAGGAAGAAAGGUCGCUGGACUCCAGGGAAGGAGGAGUCGGGAGCCUCGGCGUGGGCACGGCUCCCAGGACCUCGGCUCGGGGGCGGGGCUAGAGGGCGGAGCCUCCGCGCGCACUCCGGCGCUGUGCCGGCCACCUCUGCGGGGUCCUAGGGGCGGGGACGGUGAACCUGAGGAAAGAUGGCGGCGCCCUGGUGGCGAGCCGCGCUGGGCGGAAGUCGGAGGUGGCGGGGCUUCAGCACCUCGGCCGCGCUGAGCCGCAGGACCCCGCCACUGGGGCCGAUGCCCAACGAGGACAUCGAUGUGAGCAACCUGGAUCGGCUGGAGAAAUACCGCAGCUUCGACCGCUACCGGCGCCGGGCCGAGCAGGAGGCGCGGGCCCCGCACUGGUGGCGGACCUACCGCGAGCACUUCGUGGAAGAGUCAGAUCCCAAAGACAAGAUUGACAUUGGGCUGCCUCCGCCCAAGGUCUGUCGCACCCAACAACUGCUGGAGCGAAAACGGGUCCUCCGGGAACUGCGGGCCAGCGUGGAGGAGGAGCGGGCCGCCCGCCUGCGCACGGGGAGCAUCCCACUGGAGGCUGUGCGGGCCGAGUGGGAGCGGACCUGUGGCCCCUACCACAAGCAGCGGCUGGCAGAGUACUGUGGCCUCUACCGAGACCUGUUCCACGGUGCCACCUUCGUGCCCCGCGUGCCCCUGCACGUGGCCUACGCCGUGGGUGAGGAUGAGUUGGUGCCUGUGUACCACGGCAAUGAGGUCACGCCGACCGAGGUGAGUGCUGGGCUGUGCCCCAUCCCUCCCUGCGCGGACAGACACGGCCCAGUGGGGGGCACAGACGGUCCCCUUCUGAAGGCCUUUACAGAGGAGGUUUUUAUGGUCGUCGAGGGCACGAGCUUGGCAGAGACGUGGUCUGAGUCGGAGUUUUGUUGUCCUGUAGCUUCUCUUUUCGGUUUCCUAGUAAACGGCACCGUGAUAAUUACCGAACAGAAGAGCACAAAGGGAACGCAAAAGCAGCCGCAUCCCGGCUGGCCGCUCGCCAUCUUCAGGGUGCCCCCUCACCCCUGCCUGUUGACCUGUGGGCCUUCUGGUGGCUCAGCCCUCUUGAGAGGCAACUCUGCACGGUUCCUUCUAGAACUUUCUCUGUGCUGGUCUGCCUCUGGAGGGGCUGUCAGGGAUGUUUGGGUCAGAGUGGGCUCUGCCUUCUCCAAGGCCCCCUCAGACCCCUGCUCUCCAGAAAGCUCUCUUUAUAACAGCCGUGUGCCCCUCCCAGGGGUGACAGCCCCCUCCUUCUUCCCCCAUCAGGCUGCCCAGGCCCCAGAGGUGACCUAUGAGGCGGACGAGGGCUCCAUGUGGACACUGCUGCUCACCAACCUGGACGGACACCUGCUGGAGCCGGACGCCGAGUAUGUGCACUGGCUGCUGUGAGUACCCGGGGCAGGGCCGCGGGUCCGGCAUGGGGGAGGCCCUGGCCCUGUGGGAAGGGCCGCCCCUGAAUUUCAGUCUCAGAUCCACUGUGGAUCAGCCUCCCUCCCCUGGAGUCGGCCCCUCAUCUCUGCUCCUGAGAGGGUCAGGGGCCAUGAGGUCCAGCGGCUGCAGACAGGUCCAGAAGGAGAGCCGGCCUCUCCAUCUCCCUGAGCUCCUUUCCUCGCCCGUAAGUCUGGGGCGGUGCCUCCACAUUCCUUCGUCACCCCGAGGGGCUCUGUGGCGGUCAGGCGGGAGAGGGGCCACGAGAGGCCUCUGGCCGCUGUGGCCCGCCCAGGUCAGCCUGCCUUCCGUUUUCCCAGUGGCUUUUGGCUGCGAGCGCCAGGCAGGUGACCCUAGCUUUGGGACUUCCGAGUAACCGAGGCCAGUGACCGGGAGCCUGGUUUGCGCCACUUUUGUUCAGGGCAGCCGCCGCCUGUGCAGUGGGGCCUUCUCGAGGAGGCGCCGUGGCUGCCCCGGUGCCAGGCCGGGCAGACUCUCCGACACGGCCCAGCGCUUCAGGGAGCAGAGGGAGGAGCAGCUCCAGGGCGGCGUGGUCUCCCCCCGAGUGGCCGGGACAGCCCCUCCGGCUGUGCAGGGUCCAGCAAACAGGCUGCUGGGCUUGGCUCUCACGCUGGCUGGCUGCAGGACCCUUGUCUUCCGCCUCUGAGCCCCGGGGGCUCCCAGAGCGAGCGCCCCUCCCACCGGAUGACCUGGUGGGGAUCCUUCCCGGGAGCUGCUUCGGCCUCUAGGGAGCAUGUGGUGGGGGUACCGGCCCGCUACUAACGGGUCACUUUCUCUCCUGCCAGCACCAACAUCCCGGGCAACAGGGUGGCCGAAGGACAGGAGACGUGCCCCUACCUCCCCCCGUUCCCCGCCCGGGGCUCUGGCUUCCACCGCUUUGCCUUCCUGCUCUUCAAGCAGGACCAGCCAAUCGACUUCUCUGGGGACACCCGGCCUUCACCCUGUUACCGGCUGGCCCAGCGGACCUUCCGCACCUUCGACUUCUACAAGAAGCACCAGGAAGCCAUGACCCCCGCGGGCCUGGCCUUCUUCCAGUGUCGCUGGGACGACUCGGUCACCCGCGUCUUCCACCAGCUUUUGGACAUGCGGGAGCCAGUGUUCGAGUUCGUGCGGCCGCCGCCUUACCACCCCAAGCAGAAGCACUUCCCCCACCGGCAGCCUCUGCGCUACCUGGACCGGUACAGGGACAGCCACGAGCCCACCUACGGCAUCUACUGAGGGGCCGGGCCGCCACCCACCUUGGGGAGCGCCCCGGGCCUCUCAGGCCCCUCUGUUGGACUCUGCAGGCAGGAGCGCAAAUACCCGGCUCCGGGGGCCUAGCUGUGGGGUUCUGGGCCCUGCCUGAGGCGGCCGCUCUGUGGGCCUCCCAGCAGGCCCAGGGCCUGGGGGAGAAGGGGCGGCAGGGGCGGCCGUGUGAAUAAAGACGAUCUCUGCU